Molecule: ribosomal RNA, 324 nt
Filed under: uncultured eukaryote
Lineage: Eukaryota
Description: partial 18S ribosomal RNA
Rfam family: Eukaryotic small subunit ribosomal RNA
Source: RNAcentral
CCCUUAGAUGUCCUGGGCUGCACGCGCGCUACACUGAUGUGUCCAGUAAGCACCUAACCUCUUCCGAAAGGAACGGGUAACCUUUGCAAAGCACAUCGUGAUGGGGAUAGAUUAUUGCAAUUAUUAGUCUUGAACGAGGAAUUCCUAGUAAGCACAAGUCAUCAGCUUGUGUUGAUUACGUCCCUGCCCUUUGUACACACCGCCCGUCGCUCCUACCGAUUGAAUGUUCUGGUGAGCUCUUCGGACUGCGCGGUCUGCAGUUUCUGCGUUCCGUGCGGAAAGUUGCGCAAACCUUAACAUUUAGAGGAAGGAGAAGUCGUAACA